AUUGAAGUGUGUGUGUGUGAGAGAGAGAGAGAGGGGGAUCUUACUCUGUCUGAAUGGAAAAGAAAAGCGUCACCGUGCAGAUCCGUGAUUGAGCAAAACGACGUCGUGCUGCUACGCAUCGCAUCGAAGUUGCAACAAUGGCGAGUUCCGAAUCGCAAGAGCAUCAUCCAUGGAUCUCGAAUGCAGUUCCUUUGUUGGUGGUUCUUCUAAUUGCACUUCACGUCUUCGCUUUGGUGUAUUGGAUUUAUAGAUUGGCCACUGACAAUAAGCCACAACAGCAGCAGCAGCUACAACAACAGCAACAGCAACAUCAACAGAGAACAAAGGCUCACUGACCGACAACAACAACAACAACAACAACAAACGUUCUCAUUCAAUUUCAUUUUCUUCAAACAAUUGUUGUAUGAAAUUGUUAAUUGUGUGCAGUAAAGGAUAUGAUUUUUUUGUUUUUUUGGUAUAACAGUGAUGAAUGAAGUUUUGUUUAAUUUUUAAAUUUGAGUGUUGCUGA
Molecule: long non-coding RNA, 508 nt
Organism: Glycine soja
Lineage: Eukaryota; Viridiplantae; Streptophyta; Magnoliopsida; Fabales; Fabaceae
Exons: 2
Source: RefSeq, a predicted model, not a curated record